AGAUACCAUAGUGAGAAAGGAUUCAUUUCGCAACACCUACGGCUUCCACUAGAUGUCAACGAUCUUUAUAAAGUUGUUUGAAGCGUCUAUGAUAAACAGAGAGAAAAUUAGAAUCCAAGGAAGUUGACAUGUCAUCACUUCAUUUUUUUGCGCCUGCGCAUAAAUCUGAGAGACGUGAGUUUGUCAUCAUUUUUUAUCUAGACAUAGGAUAGGUUGUGUGAAAAUAUUACUGAUGUUUAACGUUAAAAAUGGACCAAAAGAUUAAUGCUAAACAACAUUUGACAUGUUUGAACGAACAUAAAUAGAUUAUUUACUAGGUUUUUUAGCUUUUCGGCGUGAUUUUACCAGCCCCACACCACGUUUUGUGGGAGCAUAAUGAACGCUAAGUACUUGGUGUUAUUUGGACAUAAAUUAUGAACUUUGUCAAAAGAAACCACAUUUGUUCCGGACCUGGAAUGCCUUCCGGACCUGGGAUCCUGCCUUCUGAUGGAGAUAAUCAAAGAGUGCGAGCUGAUCAAGGGGUCAAAUGUAGAUAUUGCCAGAUGUUCACUGUCCAAGGAACAGGCCAUAGAAGCUUUAUUGCUGGCAAAAGUGUCCAUAACCAGAGGCAACAGCUCUACAAGGCAUUGAGGGGAAAAAUCAACACAACAAAAAGAGCGGUGAGCAAAGGCCUUCUCUCCUUCCACUUCUUUCCAGAUGCCGCUGUGCCGGAGUAUCCAAAGUCACAGGGGUUUGUGCUUAGUCCUCUCCUGUACUCACUGUUCAACCAUGACUGCGUGGCUGUGAACGACUCCAACACCAUAAGUUUGAUGACACAACAGUGAUAGGCCUGAUCACCAACAACGAUAAGACAGCCUCCAGGAAAGAGGUCAGAGACGUGGCAAUGUGGUGACAGAACAACAACCUCUCCCUCAACGUCAGCAAGACUAAAGAGCUGAUUGUGGACUACAAGAAAAGGAAGGCUGAGCACGUCCCCAUCCACAUCGAUGGGGUUGUAGUGGAGCAGGUCAGGAGCAUCAAGUUUCUCAGGAAUUAUCAUGGUCCACACACACACACCACCAGUCGUGAAGAGGGCACGACAACACCUUUCCCCCCUCAGGAGACUGAAAAGAUUCAGCAUGGGCCCUCAGAUCCUAAAAGUUCUACAACUGCGCCAUUGAGAGUGAGACAUUCUGCCUGUUUACCUUGUUCUUUAGCUGAUAUAAUGUGCCCGUGUCAUCCCUGAUUUUUAAGAAAUAAUUGUAUGGCUUGUAAAAAUAUGACCGGAGCCUCUUUCCUUUAAAAUGUCCUCCCUUUCCCACCAACCUUUGUCAUCUAUAUCCUCAACCUUACUGGACUACAACUCCCCUGUCUGAGACCAGGAGUGCAUCUCAAUAUUCUAGAAUUGCUGUUUCUUUUCAUCCCUUCUCCUUGAUCUAUAAUGAUGUUAGUGCUGUGACAGCAAUAGGGAGACUAUGUCAAGGAAUUUGCUCACCUGUCCAGCUCUUUCGCUGCAGAUAAAGGGGAGGAGGGGAAAACACUUUAGACUAUUGAGAUACACCCAGGGUAAUUUCUGCAACAUCCCUGGUAUCAAACGUUCAGACAGACUUCAGUUAUUCUGGAAAGAGAAUACUGGCAUCCCCUGCUCUCACCCCAAGUGAUUCAGCUG
This 1648-nucleotide long non-coding RNA is filed under the name Salmo salar (Atlantic salmon). RNAcentral's name for it is "lncRNA (ENSSSAG00000096045.1)". Lineage: Eukaryota; Metazoa; Chordata; Actinopteri; Salmoniformes; Salmonidae. The record is from RNAcentral.